RNAcentral lists this non-coding RNA (866 nucleotides) under Plaxiphora albida. Lineage: Eukaryota; Metazoa; Mollusca; Polyplacophora; Chitonida; Mopaliidae. The record is from RNAcentral.
UUAAAUUUGGUUUUGGUUUAGAAUUAAUUUUAUUUAUUAGAAACACAUGAUAGUUUUGCGAAUCUGUAAAUAAUAAGUUUUUCUAAGAAAAUUUAAAAAANUUUUUUUUUAAUGCUUAUUUGUAUUAAAGUAAUUAAUGAUAUAAUUUUUACAACUUCAGUGUUUAAUAUUAAAAAUUAAAGAAAUUUAGAUUUAGAAAUUAAUAUUAGAGCUAGUAAAAUUUGUGCCAGCAUCUGCGGUUAGACAAAAAGCUUUAAUUAAUUUUUUUGGUUAUAAGACAAAUAUAAAUUAGUUGGGUUAUUAGACUAUAUUUAUUUAUAGAGGUAAAAUUCUUAUAUAUAUUUACAGUUGAUUUCUAGUUAUUAUAGAAUUUGUGAAGAUUAAAAUUAAAACUGGGAUUAGAUACCCCAUUAUUUUAAAGUUAAAUUUUUUCACCUGAGUAUUACGAGUUAAUAGCUUAAAACUCAAAAAACUUGGCGGUACUUUAAGUUCGUCUAGGGGAACCUGUCCUAUAAAUGAUGAUCCGCGUUUAACCUUACUUUAUAGAUUAGUAAGAUAUUUUUACUAUGAGUUUGUAUACUUCCGUUUUCAGUUAAUUCUUAAGGAAAAUAAAAUUAACUAUUUAACAUUAAUUGUUUUUAUAUCAGGUCAAAGUGCAGCUUAUAAUAAAGAAGAGAUGGGUUACAAUUUAAAAAUAAAUUUAUCAGUAAUGAAAAUGAAAUAUUUCAUUUAAGUAGGACUUAGAAGUAAUUUUAAAUUAUGAAUAUUAAAAUGAAUAAGACUCUAAAGUGUGUACAUAUUGCCCGUCACUCUCCUUUUAUUAGGAGAUAAGUCGUAACAUAGUAGGGGUAGCUGAAGCUGUUCCU